GAGAAUGCGCGGGUCGAGUGCUGUAGUUCGAUUUUUGCGUGUGUGCGUUGCUUGCGGCCUUUGUGCCUUUUUAUUCUUUGCUUACCUUUAUGAUAUAAAGACCUUAUUUCUUACAAGGAGGAAAAGACCGCUGACUUCAGAAACAGCGGGAACCCCAGCUCGUCCCCGGUAAGACGGCCGUGGCCUGUCAGCUGGAACGGUCCUGCCGGAUGGAUCGCUCUUUGAGAGCGUACACUCCCGCGUGCGCGACACCAGGCGGCCCCAUUCCCAGUUUACAGCUGAGGAAAUUAAGCUUCAAGUUGCCCAAGUUUAUAGAAUGAGUCAAUGGCAGAGGUUGAACUCAGAUGACAAAAUUGGGGUCUGGACGUGUGCAAGGACUUUUCCAAAGUCAGCUGGAAAGGAGCUGCUUAGCUGAGAGGUUCUGGCUCCAGAGUCUCCUGUGAAGUUGCAGUCAAGAUGUCUGCUGGGACCCCAGUCAUUUGAAGCCCUGUCUGGGGCAGGAGAAUCUAGGUCCAAAAUGGCCGUUGCAGGAGUCCUUAUCCACACCAUGUGGGACCUCUUCAUAGAUGUUCGAGUGUCCUCAUGGCAUGGCCACUGGCUUUCCCCAAAGUAAGCAGUCCAAAAGAGGGUAAGACAGAGCCCACACUGUCUUUUAUGAAUUAGCCUUAGAAGUCUAACACGGUUACUUCCACCACAUUCAUUAGUCGUUAGGUACAGCUCACAUUCAUGGGGAGGAAAAUCAGGGCCUGUCUUUAGAUAGGAGAUGUAUCAAAGAAUUUGUGGACAUAUUUUAAAAUCACAGCACUACUCUUGAUGUACUAAGUCAGUGACUCCCCCAGGAGUCUCACAGAGAAUUGACUCCUUGCCCACCUAUACUACCUUUGUGGGUAGAGACUCCAGUAGUGUGCUGGUUAAUGUUCAACCAGUGGCUUUCUAGAAAACAAAAUGUAUGGAUACAUAUAUAUGUUCUAAGUUUUACUGAUAUGAAGAAUGUGUAGCACA
This 1002-nucleotide long non-coding RNA is filed under the name Homo sapiens (human). RNAcentral's name for it is "HSALNT0374256". Lineage: Eukaryota; Metazoa; Chordata; Mammalia; Primates; Hominidae. The record is from RNAcentral.